AUUGAACGCUGGCGGCAUGCCUUACACAUGCAAGUCGAACGGUAACGCGGGGGCAACCCUGGCGACGAGUGGCGAACGGGUGAGUAAUACAUCGGAACGUACCCAGUAGUGGGGGAGUAGCUCGGCGAAAGCCGGAUUAAUACCGCAUACGACCUAUGGGUGAAAGCGGGGGAUCGCAAGACCUCGCGCUAUUGGAGCGGCCGUAU
Molecule: ribosomal RNA, 206 nt
Filed under: uncultured bacterium
Lineage: Bacteria
Description: partial 16S ribosomal RNA
Rfam family: Bacterial small subunit ribosomal RNA
Source: RNAcentral